Molecule: ribosomal RNA, 621 nt
Filed under: uncultured bacterium
Lineage: Bacteria
Description: bacterial SSU rRNA
Rfam family: Bacterial small subunit ribosomal RNA
Source: RNAcentral
ACCCCUGAAGGAGUUUUCGGACAACGGAAGGGGCUGCUUAGUGGCGGACGGGUGAGUAACGCGUGAGGAACCUGCCUUGGAGUGGGGAAUAACAGCUGGAAACAGCUGCUAAUACCGCAUAAUAUAUCUGGGCCGCAUGGCUCUGGAUAUCAAAGAUUUAUCGCUCUGAGAUGGACUCGCGUCUGAUUAGCUGGUUGGCGGGGUAACGGCCCACCAAGGCGUCGAUCAGUAGCCGGACUGAGAGGUUGGCCGGCCACAUUGGGACUGAGACACGGCCCAGACUCCUACGGGAGGCAGCAGUGGGGAAUAUUGGGCAAUGGGCGCAAGCCUGACCCAGCAACGCCGCGUGAAGGAAGAAGGCUUUCGGGUUGUAAACUUCUUUUGUCAGGGACGAAGCAAGUGACGGUACCUGACGAAUAAGCCACGGCUAACUACGUGCCAGCAGCCGCGGUAAUACGUAGGUGGCAAGCGUUAUCCGGAUUUACUGGGUGUAAAGGGCGUGUAGGCGGGACUGCAAGUCAGAUGUGAAAACCACGGGCUCAACCUGUGGCCUGCAUUUGAAACUGUAGUUCUUGAGUACUGGAGAGGCAGACGGAAUUCCUAGUGUAGCGGUGAAAUGCG